RNAcentral lists this ribosomal RNA (715 nucleotides) under uncultured fungus. RNAcentral describes it as "SSU rRNA". It matches the Rfam family "Eukaryotic small subunit ribosomal RNA", at positions 807 to 1547 of the family's 1831-position model. Lineage: Eukaryota; Fungi. The record is from RNAcentral.
GCAUGGAAUAAUAAAUAGGACGUGUGGUUCUAUUUUGUUGGUUUCUAGGACCGCCGUAAUGAUUAAUAGGGACAGUCGGGGGCAUCAGUAUUCAAUUGUCAGAGGUGAAAUUCUUGGAUUUAUUGAAGACUAACUACUGCGAAAGCAUUUGCCAAGGAUGUUUUCAUUAAUCAGGAACGAAAGUUAGGGGAUCGAAGACGAUCAGAUACCGUUGUAGUCUUAACCAUAAACUAUGCCGACUAGGGAUCGGACGAUGUUAUUUUUUGACUCGUUCGGCACCUUACGAGAAAUCAAAGUGCUUGGGCUCCAGGGGGAGUAUGGUCGCAAGGCUGAAACUUAAAGAAAUUGACGGAAGGGCACCACCAGGGGUGGAGCCUGCGGCUUAAUUUGACUCAACACGGGGAAACUCACCAGGUCCAGACACAAUGAGGAUUGACAGAUUGAGAGCUCUUUCUUGAUUCUGUGGGUGGUGGUGCAUGGCCGUUCUUAGUUGGUGGAGUGAUUUGUCUGCUUAAUUGCGAUAACGAACGAGACCUUAACCUGCUAAAUAGCCCGUACUGCUUUGGCAGUUCGCCGGCUUCUUAGAGGGACUAUCGGCUCAAGCCGAUGGAAGUUUGAGGCAAUAACAGGUCUGUGAUGCCCUUAGAUGUCCUGGGCCGCACGCGCGUUACACUGACAGGGCCAGCGAGUACCUCCUUGACCGAAAGGUCCGGGU